AGAGUUUGAUCCUGGCUCAGAGCGAACGCUGGCGGCAGGCUUAACACAUGCAAGUCGAGCGCCCGUAGCAAUACGGGAGCGGCAGACGGGUGAGUAACACGUGGGAACGUGCCCUUUGGUUCGGAAUAACUCAGGGAAACUUGAGCUAAUACCGGAUAAGCUUACGGGGAAAGAUUUAUUGCCGAAGGAGCGGCCCGCGU
RNAcentral lists this ribosomal RNA (200 nucleotides) under uncultured bacterium. RNAcentral's name for it is "partial 16S ribosomal RNA". It matches the Rfam family "Bacterial small subunit ribosomal RNA", at positions 8 to 236 of the family's 1533-position model. The record is from RNAcentral.